This 3007-nucleotide ribosomal RNA is filed under the name Rhodococcus qingshengii. Its description in RNAcentral is "bacterial LSU rRNA". It matches the Rfam family "Bacterial large subunit ribosomal RNA". The record is from RNAcentral. Lineage: Bacteria; Bacillati; Actinomycetota; Actinomycetes; Mycobacteriales; Nocardiaceae.
AGAGCGUACGGUGGAUGCCUUGGCACCAGGAGCCGAUGAAGGACGUAGGAGGCUGCGAUAAGCCUCGGGGAGCUGUCAACCGAGCUGUGAUCCGAGGAUGUCCGAAUGGGGAAACCCAGCACGAGUGAUGUCGUGUUACCCGCGCCUGAAUAUAUAGGGCGUGUGGAGGGAACGUGGGGAAGUGAAACAUCUCAGUACCCACAGGAAGAGAAAACAACCGUGAUUCCGUGAGUAGUGGCGAGCGAAAGCGGAAGAGGCUAAACCAUGGGUGUGUGAUAGCCGGCAGGUGUUGCAUUCGUGGGGUUGUGGGGUUCAUUUUGUCUGUUCUGCCGAGCAGGCCAACAGUAAGAAAUCACAGGGUUAGUGGAAGUGGUCUGGAACGGCCUGUCGUAGAGGGUGAGAAUCCCGUACACGAAAACUUUGUGACUGUUGUAAUGGAAACCCAAGUAGCACCGGGCCCGUGAAAUCUGGUGUGAAUCUGUCGGGACCACCCGAUAAGCCUGAAUACUCCCUGGUGACCGAUAGCGGACUAGUACCGUGAGGGAAAGGUGAAAAGUACCCCGGGAGGGGAGUGAAAUAGUACCUGAAACCGUGCGCUUACAAUCCGUCAGAGCCUUCGAGCAGUUUACUGCUGGGGGUGAUGGCGUGCCUUUUGAAGAAUGAGCCUGCGAGUUAGUGGCAUGUCGCGAGGUUAACCCGUGUGGGGUAGCCGUAGCGAAAGCGAGUCCGAAUAGGGCGAGUCAGUGGCAUGCUCUAGACCCGAAGCGGAGUGAUCUACCCAUGGCCAGGUUGAAGCGACGGUAAGACGUCGUGGAGGACCGAACCCACUUAGGUUGAAAACUGAGGGGAUGAGUUGUGGGUAGGGGUGAAAGGCCAAUCAAACUCCGUGAUAGCUGGUUCUCCCCGAAAUGCAUUUAGGUGCAGCGUCGCGUGUUUCUCACCGGAGGUAGAGCUACUGGAUGGUCUAGGGGGCCCACAAGCUUACCGAAAUCAGCCAAACUCCGAAUGCCGGUGAGUGAGAGCGCGGCAGUGAGACUGCGGGCGAUAAGGUUCGUAGUCGAGAGGGAAACAGCCCAGAUCGCCAGCUAAGGUCCCUAAGCGUGUACUAAGUGGAAAAGGAUGUGGGGUCGCGAAGACAACCAGGAGGUUGGCUUAGAAGCAGCCACCCUUGAAAGAGUGCGUAAUAGCUCACUGGUCAAGUGAUCCUGCGCCGACAAUGUAGCGGGGCUCAAGUACACCACCGAAGCUGCGGCAUUCACGCAAUAGCCCCCCUUCACUCUGCGGAGUGUUGGGCAGGUGUGUGGAUGGGUAGGGGAGCGUCGUGUGGCCAUGGAAGCGGCAGGGUGACCUAGCCGUGGAGGCCACACGAGUGAGAAUGCAGGCAUGAGUAGCGAAAGACGAGUGAGAAACUCGUCCGCCGAAUGACCAAGGGUUCCUGGGCCAGGUUAAUCCGCCCAGGGUGAGUCGGGACCUAAGACGAGGCCGACAGGCGUAGCCGAUGGACAACGGGUUGAUAUUCCCGUACCCGUGUGAACGCGCCCAUGGUGAAUCAGUGAUACUAACCAUCCUGAAGCCACGAGAAGACCUUCGGGUCUCGAGUUGGUGGAUGCAUGGGACCUGAUCUGGUAGUAGCCAAGCGAUGGGGUGACGCAGGAAGGUAGCUGAGCCAGUCAGUGGUAAUACUGGUGUAAGCGUGUAGGGCGUGACCUAGGCAAAUCCGGGUCGCACAUAGCCUGAGACGUGAUGCGUAGCCGAUUGAGGCGAAUUCAGUGAUCCUAUGCUGCCGAGAAAAGCCUCUAGCGAGCUUUCACACGGCCCGUACCCCAAACCGACACAGGUGGUCAGGUAGAGAAUACUAAGGCGAUCGAGAUAACUAUGGUUAAGGAACUCGGCAAAAUGCCCCCGUAACUUCGGGAGAAGGGGGGCCCUGUCUGGUGACGACAUUUACUGUCUGAGCUGGGUGGGGCCGCAGAGACCAGUGAGAAGCGACUGUUUACUAAAAACACAGGUCCGUGCGAAGUCGUAAGACGAUGUAUACGGACUGACGCCUGCCCGGUGCUGGAAGGUUAAGAGGACCGGUUAGUUCUUCGGAGCGAAGCUGAGAAUUUAAGCCCCAGUAAACGGCGGUGGUAACUAUAACCAUCCUAAGGUAGCGAAAUUCCUUGUCGGGUAAGUUCCGACCUGCACGAAUGGCGUAACGACUUCUCAGCUGUCUCAACCGUAGACUCGGCGAAAUUGCAUUACGAGUAAAGAUGCUCGUUACGCGCGGCAGGACGAAAAGACCCCGGGACCUUCACUACAGCUUGGUAUUGGUGUUCGGUUCGGUUUGUGUAGGAUAGGUGGGAGACUGUGAAACGGUGACGCCAGUUAUCGUGGAGUCGUUGUUGAAAUACCACUCUGAUCGAAUUGGACCUCUAACCUCGGACCAUGAUCUGGUUCAGGGACAGUGCCUGGUGGGUAGUUUAACUGGGGCGGUUGCCUCCCAAAAUGUAACGGAGGCGCCCAAAGGUUCCCUCAGCCUGGUUGGCAAUCAGGUGUCGAGUGCAAGUGCACAAGGGAGCUUGACUGUGAGACUGACAGGUCGAGCAGGGACGAAAGUCGGGACUAGUGAUCCGGCACCGGCAAGUGGAAGCGGUGUCGCUCAACGGAUAAAAGGUACCCCGGGGAUAACAGGCUGAUCUUCCCCAAGAGUCCAUAUCGACGGGAUGGUUUGGCACCUCGAUGUCGGCUCGUCGCAUCCUGGGGCUGGAGUAGGUCCCAAGGGUUGGGCUGUUCGCCCAUUAAAGCGGCACGCGAGCUGGGUUUAGAACGUCGUGAGACAGUUCGGUCUCUAUCCGCCGCGCGCGUUAGAAACUUGAGGAAGGCUGUCCCUAGUACGAGAGGACCGGGACGGACGAACCUCUGGUGUGCCAGUUGUUCCGCCAGGAGCACCGCUGGUUAGCUACGUUCGGAAGGGAUAACCGCUGAAAGCAUCUAAGCGGGAAGCCUGUUCCAAGAUGAGGUUUCU